RNAcentral lists this long non-coding RNA (2275 nucleotides) under Malus domestica (apple). RNAcentral's name for it is "long non-coding RNA (MDOM_LNC020298)". Lineage: Eukaryota; Viridiplantae; Streptophyta; Magnoliopsida; Rosales; Rosaceae. The record is from RNAcentral.
UCGUCCAAUUUGGUGCUUUGUGUUCAAAACUGCCCAGAAAGUGUUUUUAAGGCAGUUUUGAGUCUUUUGGUUGCUGUUUUGAGUUUUUGGUUUGUUUUAGUGUUUUAAACUUUAGUUUUUCAUUCUUUGAGUCUAAUCUAGUGUUUUAAACUUUGUUUUUACGUUUCUAAGUCAGUUUUCAAGUGUUUAGCAAUCCCUCCUAAUCCCCGGUCCAGAACGAUCCCUACUUACAUACUUUACUACAAUUGACAAAAAGAGGGUUUAAUUUGUGUGCUUAUAUAUUUUCGCAUCACUAGACACUCUAACUUGGAUAGCAGGUUCAUCAACAACGUUCCUCCUUCCUCCUUGCUGCGGCACAAAGGUUAGGGACAGGUUUUGGGGUUAUGAAUGGUGUAGAAUGGAUGGGGGAUAGUGUGGUGAUGUUUAAGAUGGAUUUGUGGUGCGGCAAGGGGUCGUUUUUGGUAGGAAUUAUGGAGAAUGGUGGUGGAAGGCUGCGGUAGAGAAGGGGAAGUAUUUUUGGCGUGAUUUAUGUAUUAUGAGGGGUGGUAAAUGCAGCAAGGGGUGUAACAUACAUAUUUAUAGGCACCUAAAUCCUAGGGCAAUCAGAUUAGGGCUUCUAGAAACCAAAUCCACCAGGAAAAAAGCAUAGAAAAUCAAAAUCCUCAAGGGAAAAGGCCAAGAGGUGGGGCUGGAUAGGGAGGGAAGGAUAAGGCUUCUAGAAAGCCUUGCAAGGCAAGGAAAAUAGGUCCCCUUGCUGAAUUUGGUGCGGCACCUAUGGGAAAUUGUUCUAGAACCUUCUUUGUGUCAAAAAAUGCUUAGGAAAUCUUCAAUGUUGCUGAAACUUAAGGCCAUUUAGGUUUAGGAUAGAUCAACCCAAAAUAGGAAACUUUAGGCUUAACUUUCCUACUUCAAGUAGGAAACCUUGUUUGAGUAGGAAUCCUCAUUCUUCUAGGAAUCCAUCCUUAAUUAGGACUCCUCCGUUGAUUAGGAAUCCUUCUUCAAUUAGGACUCCUUCAUUCUUGUCCAUUCUUUUCGUUCCAAGCACGUGAUAUCCAUCCCAGGCUCAAUCUUGCUCCAAAAGGCUCCAAAAUGCAUCGUUUUGCAUACUUUGCCCUUAAAACCUGAAAACACAUGAAACUAGCUGAUAUGAAAUAUAUAAGCACACAAAUUAAACCAUUUUUUUAUCAAAUGUAGUAAAGUAUGUAAGUAGGGAUCGUUCUGGACCGGGGAUUAGGAGGGAUUGCUAAACACCUGAAAACUGACUUAGAAACGUAAAAACAAAGUUUAAAACACUAAACUAGACUCAAAGAAUGUAAAACUAAAGUUUGAAACACUGAAACAAACCAAAAGACUCAAAACAGCAAACAAACACUCAAAACUGCCUUAAAAGCACUUUCUGGGCAGUUUUGAACACAAACACAAAUUUGGACGAAAUUGGGUUACAACUUGAAUCAAAACACUUAAAAACACAAAAUAAAUGGAUUUCUAACUAAUCUAACACUUUAAACUAAAGGGGGAUUUGGUUUUGAUGAAAUUGAAAACAAGACAAAACUUUGUAAUUAAAACAGAUUGUAGAACGAAUUUGAAUGAAGCUUAUGGAUGGAAGGCUAGCUAGGAGGUUCUUCUCCACACAUGUCACACUUGCAUACAAAACGAUCUCCAAUUUCUUUUCGAUAAACUAUGAAUACUCAACGCCCCAGAUUAACCGUGAAUUGCACUAAUUAACCCUCAGUUUUUUUCACAAGUUAUUGAGUUGGAUGAUUGCAUACGACAACCCAAAACAUUCCCUACAAGUUCCCUACAUGAAGCAAGAAUCAUUAAGUUCUAUGAAAAACAUAAGCAUUGACGAGGCACUCGUUACUAUGAAUUGCAUGAAAUUUAUGCCAAGAAUUUACUUAACGCGAUUGUGACUAGCAACUUUCACUACUUGCGAAUAUAAGUUCGUAACGAUUAGGUGAAACUCCCUUAUAUUCUAGCAUCAAAUUCAUGCAUGAAAAUUAAGCGUGCACUCUCAACCAACAUACACAAAUCAGUUUUUAUACGAACAGAAAAGUAAAUUGAAUUCACAGCUUAUGAAACGCAAUUAGAAGUAAUCAAAUCAUAUUGCAAGCAUAAACAUGGUUUCGAAUCCCCCCCUAGCCAAAGGGGGGUUUAGUUCCUGAUAGGAGCAUAUUUAUGCGCCUUAGUUUAGCUUGUUCUUGGGCAUUUAUAGUGUUUUUGCUUAGUAAAGUAGUCUUUUAAGCUAGUUUUAUGUGUUUUCAGGUUCUAAGGGCAA